GGACAUUCAAGCUCCAUGCAGAAAGAGGCAUGCCUGGAGUUGAACCCAGGACCUUCUUGCUGCAAGGCAACAGUGCUACCAAUUGCGUGCAGCACUGAGACUCCAAAUGUAAACUGUUUAACAUAGUUGGCUACAAGAGAGACACAAAACAUGCAAGGAGGAAUCAUCUUAGUUCCACAGGAACAUUGUCUAACCAGCUGUCAAGAAGAAAUAGGGAUAGGACAAGCUGUUUUGAAGUUUGCAUUCAACAAUGUGGUGCAUUGCCGCCACCAGCUGGCUUGGAGCGUGGACCAGAAUGUCGCUGACCCGCAUAGCUAUUCGUCGCACCUGUUCAAAAGUCAGAUGUGGCAACCUGUCUUCUGCUGACAAGCUUUAUUGAGAUGCUGAUUUAAUUUUCCAGCAGGACUUGGCACCUGCUUACACUGCCAAAGAGAAUCCAGAGUAUUGUCAAGAGGAAGAUGAGAGACACCACACCCAACAUUGCAGAUGACGUAAAGGCCGGUAUCAAAGCAACCUGGGCUUCCAUUACACCUCAGCAGAACCACAGGCUGAUCGUCUCCAUCCCACAAGGCAUUGAUGCAGUAAUUCAUGCAAAAGAAGGCUCAACCAAUCAUUGAGUGCAAAGAAAUGAACACACUUUUCAGAAGCCUGACAUGUUUGCUCAAAGUAUGCUUUUUAAUUGAUCUUAUGUAAUAUUCUAAUGUUCUGAGACACUGAGUUUUGGGUUUUCAUUGUUUGUAAGACAUAAUCAUCAAGAAAAAAAGGCUUGAAAUGAUUUACUGUAUAUUGAAAUGAGUGGAAAAUAUUUUUACUUUUUCAGGAUAUUCAAAUUUUUAAAAUGUACCUGUAUAAAUUUGAAGGUACAUGAAAGGACACAUGAUUUUAACAUUUGUAUUUGAUGUUAUUUUAAUUUGAUACCCCUGAUUGUGGUUAGUUGCCUCUAAAACCCACCUAAUUGUGUCCACCUGUGUGUGAUUUAAUCUUAUCCAGGAAGAGAGAAUAAUAAUUAGGGAAGUGGCCAAUCCUCACUGUGGAGGAGCUCCAGGGAUCCACAGCUUGGGUGGUAGAAUCUGUUGACAGGGCAGACACAACAAACAUGUCUUUUUUUAAGAUAAAAACAAAAUAACCUUUUUUGACCUCAUGUAACAUAACCGUGGUAGUGGCAGUGUCAUGCUGUGGGGAGCCAGAGCUACAAUGAAAUGAUAUAAAUCAAAGUAUAGUCAUCAAA
Long non-coding RNA from Girardinichthys multiradiatus, 1228 nucleotides. RefSeq lists it as uncharacterized. Lineage: Eukaryota; Metazoa; Chordata; Actinopteri; Cyprinodontiformes; Goodeidae. The transcript is spliced from 4 exons. The record is from RefSeq and is a predicted model, not a curated record.